AACAUGUUUGUUUGAAGUUAUAAAGAAUCUGACCUGCCCCCUGAAUGAUGGGUUAAAGGGCCGCAGUAUUAUAACUGUGCAAAGGUAGCAUAAUCAUUAGGUUUUUAAUUGAAAUCUUGUAUGAAUGGUUGGACAAAAGAAAGUCUCUCUUUAUAUUAAAAUUUGAAUUUAACUUUUAAGUGAAAAGGCUUAAAUAUCCUAGAGGGACGAUAAGACCCUAUAAAACUUUACAUUGUAAUUUUAUUUUAAUUGAAUUUAUAAAUAAAGAUUUAAUAAGAUUAUUUGUUGUGUUGGGGAGACAUGAGUAAAAUAUUGUUUUAACUGCUUUAUAAAUAAUACAAUUAUUAGUGUGUAGGUGAGAGAUCCUUUUUAAAGAUUAAUAGAUUAAGUUACUUUAGGGAUAACAGCGUAAUUUCUUUUGAGAGCUCUUAUCGAAAAAGAAGAUUGCGACCUCGAUGUUGAAUUAAAAGUAUCUGUAUAAUGUAGGAGUUAUAUAAGAAGGUCUGUUCGACCUUAAAAAUUUUACAUGAUUUGAGUUCAAACCGGUGUAAGCCAGGUU
This 559-nucleotide ribosomal RNA is filed under the name Bottapotamon lingchuanense. Its description in RNAcentral is "partial large subunit ribosomal RNA". It matches the Rfam family "Bacterial large subunit ribosomal RNA", at positions 1827 to 2632 of the family's 2925-position model. The record is from RNAcentral. Lineage: Eukaryota; Metazoa; Arthropoda; Malacostraca; Decapoda; Potamidae.